RNAcentral lists this ribosomal RNA (253 nucleotides) under uncultured bacterium. Its description in RNAcentral is "partial 16S ribosomal RNA". It matches the Rfam family "Bacterial small subunit ribosomal RNA", at positions 524 to 776 of the family's 1533-position model. The record is from RNAcentral.
UACGGGGGGGGCAAGCGUUGUUCGGAAUUACUGGGCGUAAAGGGCUCGUAGGUGGCCAACUAAGUCGGACGUGAAAUCCCUCAGCUUAACUGGGGAACUGCGUCCGAUACUGGAUGGCUUGGAUUUGGGAGAGGGAUGCGGAAUUCCAGGUGUAGCGGUGAAAUGCGUAGAUAUCUGGAGGAACACCGGUGGCGAAGGCGGCAUCCUGGACCAAUAUUGACGCUGAGGAGCGAAAGCCAGGGGAGCAAACGGG